RNAcentral lists this ribosomal RNA (253 nucleotides) under uncultured bacterium. RNAcentral's name for it is "partial 16S ribosomal RNA". It matches the Rfam family "Bacterial small subunit ribosomal RNA", at positions 524 to 776 of the family's 1533-position model. The record is from RNAcentral.
UACGUAGGGUGCAAGCGUUGUCCGGAAUUAUUGGGCGUAAAGAGCUCGUAGGCGGUUUGUCGCGUCGAAUGUGAAAACCCGGGGCUCAACCCCGGGCCUGCAUUCGAUACGGGCAGACUAGAGUUCGGUAGGGGGGUCUGGAAUUCCUGGUGUAGCGGUGAAAUGCGCAGAUAUCAGGAGGAACACCGGUGGCGAAGGCGGGACUCUGGGCCGAUACUGACGCUGAGGAGCGAAAGCGUGGGGAGCAAACAGG